Molecule: transfer RNA, 76 nt
Filed under: Selenomonadaceae bacterium
Lineage: Bacteria; Bacillati; Bacillota; Negativicutes; Selenomonadales; Selenomonadaceae
Description: tRNA-Lys
Rfam family: tRNA
About the family: Transfer RNA (tRNA) molecules are approximately 80 nucleotides in length. Their secondary structure includes four short double-helical elements and three loops (D, anti-codon, and T loops).
Source: RNAcentral
GACUCACUAGCUCAAUUGGCAGAGCAACUGACUCUUAAUCAGUAGGUUCGCGGUUCGAUUCCGCGGUGGGUCACCA